This 6568-nucleotide long non-coding RNA is filed under the name Olea europaea (common olive). RNAcentral describes it as "long non-coding RNA (OEUR_LNC006950)". The record is from RNAcentral. Lineage: Eukaryota; Viridiplantae; Streptophyta; Magnoliopsida; Lamiales; Oleaceae.
AAAAAAAGCCCAUGACAUUGAUACUGCUAACUUGCUAGAAAUAGUAGUAGUGGAAGAAAAUAGAGGAAAAGAAGAGGGAAAAAACAAGGGGAAGAUCUGAGGAAAAACCUCACCAAGAAUAUGUACCUACGUGGAACAAGAGGUAUUAGAGCUGAACUGAAAGAGAGAGAAAUUCUUGUAUUGAUCACGAAAAGUAAGUGCAAUGUUUUGUACAGCACGAGUAUAAAUAGAAAAGGAAGAGAAGCUAGAAGCUAACUAAAUCCAGCUGUCAACUAACUAACUAACUAAUUAACUAACUGUAUACAAAAUGUAAUGAUAUGUAAUACUCCCCCUCAAAAUGUGCUGUAAAUAUCUUUUACACACAUCUUGGUCAUCAAAGGAGAAAGUAUGGAAGCUGGUAAAGGCUUUGUGAAAGCAUCAGCGAGCUAGUGCUGUGAUCUGACUGGAAGGACCUUAAUCGCCCCAGCUGUGAUCUUGUCACGAAUGAAAUGAAGAUCGAUCUCAAUGUGCUUUGUUUGCUCGUGAAAAGUUGGAUUCUUUGCGAUCUGAAUUGUAGCCAGAUUAUCACAAUAGAUUAUAGCUGGUGAAGUGCUGGCAACCUGAAAAAUCCACUAGUAAUUGAUUUAUCCAAGUAAUUUCACUGACCGUUGAUGCAAGAGCCCGGUAUUCUGCCUCUGCUGAAGAAUGAGAAAUGGUUGGUUCUUAGACUUCCAAGAAACUAGUGAAUCACCAAUGAAAAUGCAAAAGCCAGCAGUAGAUUUUCGCGUAUCAACGCAGGAUCCCCAGUCAGCAUCGAAAAAAGCCUGGAGUUUGAUUGAUGAAUCUGAACCUGACAGUGAAUUAGAAGAGAAAAAAAGACCUUGGCUAGGACUUCUUUUCAAAUAGCGAAGAAGGUGAUGAACGGCCUUGAGAUGAGGUAAUCUUGUUUGAGACAUAAAUUGGCUCAACUUGUGUAGUGCAAAUAUAAUAUCCGGUCGGGUGAGAGUUAAGUGAUAGUCUUAAGUUUGGUAAAAAAUACACUUACGGUGUCUUGAUCUUGAGCUAAAUUCAUUAAUUUCCUCCUUAGUUGGAAAAUCCGAGGGCCAUUGCUUUGCUGAAAUCUCUCUUUGAGAUCGUUCCAGAUCUCGUAUGCAGUAGAAGCAUAGAUUACACUUGCUGAAAUGUCCUUCGAUACUGAGUUAAGUAUCCAAGAUAUCACCAUGUUGUUAUUUCGAAUCCAUGAAUUGACCAGAUCUGGAUCGGUGACUGCUGGUUCCUUCAUGGAUCCAUCAAUGAAGCCGAUUUUAUUCUUAACUGAUAAUGCAAUAGUCAUUGCACGGCUCCAAGAGGCAUAGUUUUCUCCUGUGAGCUGUUGAGACACUAACACCAAUCCAGGACUAUCUGAAUGGUGAAGGAAAUACGGACUGGAAGAUUCAUCAAUGGCGGAUUUGCUUAUGACAGAUCUUGAAUCGGAAGAUUCUGAUUGUGUUUGUUCCAUUGCUGUUUGAAAUUGCUGAAUUAACAACCACGAGAUUCAGAAAUGAAGAAGGUGAAGAUGAUCUAAGCUUAAUUUUCCCGCUCUGAUACCAUAUUGGAACUGAAUUGAGGAAGAGAGAGAAACUCUUUUAUUUGAUCACGGAAAAGUGAGUAGAGUUUUACAACACAAGUAUAAAUAGAAAGGAAACAGAAGAAGCUAGCUAAUUCCAGCUGUCAACUAAUUCCAGCUGUUAACUAACUAAUCAACUAACUAACUAACUGUAUACAAAUGUAAUAAUACGUAAUACUCCCCCUCAAGAUGUGCUGUGAAUAUCUUUUACACACAUCUUGGUCAUCAAAGGAGAAAGUAUGGAAGCUGGUAAAGGCUUUGUGAAAGCAUCAGCGAGCUGGUGCUGUGAUCUGACUGGAAGGACCUUAAUCGCCCCAGCUGUGAUCUUGUCACGAAUGAAAUGAAGAUCGAUCUCAAUGUGCUUUGUUUGCUCGUGAAAAGUUGGAUUCUUUGCGAUCUGAAUUGUAGCCAGAUUAUCACAAUAGAUUAUAGCUGGUGAAGUGCUGGCAACCUGAAAAAUCCACUAGUAAUUGAUUUAUCCAAGUAAUUUCACUGACCGUUGAUGCAAGAGCCCGGUAUUCUGCCUCUGCUGAAGAAAGAAUGAGAAAUGGUUGGUUCUUAGACUUCCAAGAAACUAGUGAAUCACCAAUGAAAAUGCAAAAGCCAGCAGUAGAUUUUCGCGUAUCAACGCAGGAUCCCCAGUCAGCAUCGAAAAAAGCCUGGAGUUUGAUUGAUGAAUCUGAACCUGACAGUGAAUUAGAAGAGAAAAAAAGACCUUGGCUAGGACUUCUUUUCAAAUAGCGAAGAAGGUGAUGAACGGCCUUGAGAUGAGGUAAUCUUGUUUGAGACAUAAAUUGGCUCAACUUGUGUAGUGCAAAUAUAAUAUCCGGUCGGGUGAGAGUUAAGUAAAUCAAUCUUCCAAUGAGCCUCCUGUAUUGGGAUGCAUCUGAUAACAAUUCUCCAUCAAGUGAGCUAAGAACAAUCUUUGGAUCCAUGGGACUGCUAACUGGUUUGCAAUCCAAAUAGCCUGCAUCUUCAAUCAUUUGUAAUGUAUAUUGCCUCUGUGAAAUAAUAAUUCCUGAUGCUGCUCGCGCAAUUUCAAUUCCCAAGAAAAAUUUUAAACAACCCAAAUCCUUGAGCUUGAAUUGAGAGUGCAAGUAUUCCUUUAAUUCUUUAAUAACCUGCAUGUUAGGCCCUGUAAUGACUAUAUCAUCAACAUACACCAAUAAGGCUACAAAGUUAUCUCUUGUGCCCUUUGUAAAAAGGGAGUAAUCUGCUUUAGACUGGUUGAAACCAUGUUGAAUAAGAGAAAGAGAAAACUUGGAAUUCCACUGCCUUGAGGCUUGUUUAAGGCCGUAUAUAGACUUGUGUAAUUUACAAACCAAUUGACACUCCCCCUAUUUGGGAGGUUUAAGAAGGUCAUAGCCAAAAGAAAGGUCCAUAUACACCUCUUCAAACAAAUCUACAUUCAAAAAUGCAUUGUUCACGUCUAGUUGAACCAAGUACCAAUUAUUGUGGCUAGCAAGUGCAAGCAGUACCUUGACAGAUACAGUUUUAGCAACUGGGGAGAAGGUAUCAAAGUAAUCCAAUCCCUCUUGUUGUGUAUAACCCUUGGUGACAAGACGGGCUUUGUGCCUUUCAAGAGACCCAUCAGAUUUGUAUUUGUUUUUAAAAACCCAACGACAACCCACUAUGUGCUUCCCAACUGGUAAGGGAACAAUGGAUCAGGUUUGGUUAAGCUCCAUGGCCUCAAGUUCUAGUUUCAUGGCCUCACUUCAUUGAGGAAGUUUGAUUGCUUGAUGAAAAAAUUGAGGUUCAAAAUGAGUUGAAACAUUCAAGAUGAAUUGACGAUGGGGAGUUGAUAAUCUGUCAUAAGAGACAAAUUGUCCAAUGUGAUGAGAGGGAAGGAUAGGAGGUUGAUGAUUUGGUGAAAGUAAAUUGCAGUGAAAGUCUCUGAGAUAUGUGGGGGGUUUAGAAACUUGGUGAGACUUUCGAACAUUGGGAUAUGACUGAUUUAUGAGAGGUGAAUCAGACCGAGGUAACAAAGGACCAGAAUUAUCAACAGGUGAUGCAUUAGGGGUGUUAUCAAUAGGAACAUCAUGUGGAAUGGAUAGAGAAGAAGAAGGUAGUACGAAAUCAGGAAAAUGAUCUACCAAUUGAUUAGCAUUAGUAAUAGUAUGAAAAGGGAAAAUUUCUUCAUGAAAAAUGGCAUCUCUGGAUAUGAAAAUUUGCUUAGAGGAUACAUCAAAAAAUUUAAAACCUUUGACACCGGGAGGAUAUCCCAAGAAGACACAUACCUUAGCUCGUGGUUGGAAUUUUGUCCUGUGAGCAGUAAGUGUUGAGACAAAUGCCAAACACCCAAAUACUUUGAGGUUGGAAUAAUCUGCCAUUCGGCCAUGUAAGACUUCAAAAGGAGUUUUGUGAUUUAAAAUGUGAGAAGGGGUUCUAUUUAUCAAGAAUGCGGCAGUAAGCACACAUUCUGACCAAAAAUUGAUUGGAACUCUGAAUUGAAAAAAAAAAAAAAGAGAGAGAGAGAACAUGCUACAUUGAGGAGGUACUGGUGUUUUCACUCAACAACUGAAUUUUGCUGUGGUCGUUCAACGCAACUAAACUGAUGUAUCACUCCUCUUUCAACAAAGAAUUCUUUGAAUGAUAAUUCAUGUGCAUUGUCUGAUCGAAAACCUUUAAUGGUAGCAUGAUAUUGUGUGGCAACAAGGUUAAAAAAUCUAUGCACAACUUUCACAGCAUCAGAUUUUUUCCUUAACAUAUAUAACCAUGUGAAUCGAGAAUGAUCAUCAACUAAUGUCAAAAAAUAUCUAUAACCAGAAUGAGAUGUGACAUGAUAAGGGCCCCAUAUGUCACAGUGCACCAAGUCAAAUGGCCUAUUUGAAAGAUGAUUAUGUGAUUCAGAAGAAAGUCUCCUCUGCUUGGCAAGAGAACAAAUGUAACAUGGCAUAUGCUUAUUCCUUUUAUCCUUAACAUACAGUAACUGGUCUUUUAAAGCAUCUAAUUGUUUGAAUGACAAAUGUCCGAGCCUAUUAUGCCAUACACGAGCAGAAACAGCACCAAUGAAAGCAUUAGAGAUUGGAACAAAAUCAAGAUCCUUGGUGUUCAGUACAUAUAAGCUUUGGACAAUGUUACCCUUGCCAAUCAUCCUCCUGCAUGUAGCCUCCUGAAUGAUGAACUGGUUAUGAAAGAAAUUCAAAUUGAGAUUUGAUCCAAUAGUCAAUGAACUAAUUGAUAUCAAGUUGAACUUAAAUUGAGGCACAAAGAGAACAUCACGCAGCAUCAAUUUUGGCCCUAAUCUGACAUCACCACAUAGAUUGACAGGAAUGCGUGUAUGAUUGGGUAAGGUAACACUUGAAUUAACAAUAGGUCUCAAGUUUACAAAUGCAGCAGCAAUUGAACAUACAUGCUUGGAGGCACCUGAAUCCACAAUCCAAAUGUCUUUGGAUGAAAAGGAUGGACUAACCAGUUUAGAAUGAUGUAUACUUGCAUCAUAUGUUGGUUCACCUUUGUUCGGAUCAGUUGAAGGGGACUGUGAACUGGCAGCAAGGUGGGUAGAUAGCAUGGUCAUCAAGUGUUGGUAUUGAUUUGAGUUCAAGUUCUGCAUAAAUUUCUCAAGACCAAGUUGUUGAUCCAUUUCCUUCUCAUCAUUCUGUGAAUUGAUAGAAAUUUGGUUAAUAGAGUUAGAAUUAGAAAAAUGUUGGGGAUUAUCUCUUAACCUUGACUUAUAGUCUGGUGGAAAACCAUGGACUUUAUAGCAUUUGUCAACUGUAUGUCCAUGAUAUUUGCAGUACACACAGUAUGGUCUCUCCUUUUUCCUGUUGCCAAGUUUUGUACUGUCACUAUAAGCGCCAGAAUUGAGUGUUCCUUUGCCUUUAUCAGAUCUAAACGCAAAGGCAGUUUCCCCACUUAAGUCAGUACCAACUGAACAUGUGCACAAUUUUCUCUGAUUCUCCUCUUGUGCAACCAAUGCGAACACUUUAUUAAUUGAUGGCAAAGGAUCCAUGAGAAGAAUCUGGCCUCUAACUUGUGAAAAGGAUUCAUGUAAUCCCAUGAGGAAUGACAUGAUAUAUUCCACCUGAUAAUGUUUGUUUAGUUCCUAAACACCUCCACAAACACACUUUCCACAGCUACAAUUGGGUCGAAAAUUAUUAAUUCUUCCCGGAUAGUCUUAAGUUUGGUAAAAAAAUACACUUACAGUGUCUUGAUCUUGAGCUAAAUUCAUUAAUUUCCUCCUUAGUUGGAAAAUCCGAGGACCAUUACUUUGCUGAAAUCUCUCUUUGAGAUCGUUCCAAAUCUCGUAUGCAGUAGAAGCAUUUAUUACACUUGCUGAAAUGUCCUUCGAGAUUAAGUUAAGUAUCCAAGAUAUCACCAUGUUGUUAUUUCGAAUCCAUGAAUUGACCAGAUCUGGAUCGGUGGCUGUUGGUUCCUUCAUGGAUCCAUCAAUGAAGCCGAUUUUAUUCUUAACUGAUAAUGCAAUAGUCAUUGCACGGCUCCAAGAGGCAUAGUUUUCUCCUGUGAGCUGUUGAGACACUAACACCAAUCCAGGACUAUCUGAAUGGUGAAGGAAGUACGGGCUGGAAGAUUCAUCAAUGGUGGAUUUGUUCAUGACAGAUCUUGAAUCCGAAGGUUCUGAUUGUGUUUGUUCCAUUGCUGUUUGGAAUUGCUGAAAUGAUAACCACAAGAUUUAUAAAUGAAGAAGGUGAAGAUGAUCUCAGCUUAAUUUUCCCGCUCUGAUACCAUAUUAGAGCUGAACUGAAAGAGAGAGAGAAAUUCUUGUAUUGAUCACGAAAAGUAAGUGCAAUGUUUUGUACAGCACGAGUAUAAAUAGAAAAGGAAGAGAAGCUAGAAGCUAACUAAAUCCAGCUGUCAACUAACUAACUAACUAAUUAACUAACUGUAUACAAAAUGUAAUGAUAUGUAAUAAGAGGAGACAAAUUUAUGAAUCAUUGGUGAUAUUGAGAUAAGUGAUGAUUGGAUUUUUGGAGAGGGUGAUACAAUGAUUUUGCAAUUUGUGAGAGGUGAUUUAUGAGAGAG